GAUGAACGCUGACAGAAUGCUUAACACAUGCAAGUCGAUGGGGAAGUGGUGCUUGCACCAUGGUAACCAUGGCGGACGGGUGAGUAACGCGUAAGGAACUUGCCUGCGGGACUGGGAUAACAGCAGGAAACUGCUGAUAAUACCGGAUAAGGUCAUUAAGCUGCAUAGCUUAGUGAUGAAAGGAGACGCCUGCGGAGAGCCUUGCGUCCUAUUAGCUAGUUGGAGGGGUAACGGCCCACCAAGGCGAAGAUAGGUAGCCGGCCUGAGAGGGUGGACGGCCACAAGGGGACUGAGAUACGGCCCUUACUCCUACGGGAGGCAGCAGUGGGGAAUAUUGGACAAUGGGGGCAACCCUGAUCCAGCAAUUCUGUGUGCACGAAGACGGUUUUCGGAUUGUAGAGUGCUUUCAGCAGGGAAGAAGGAAGUGACGGUACCUGCAGAAGAAGCGACGGCUAAAUACGUGCCAGCAGCCGCGGUAAUACGUAUGUCGCGAGCGUUAUCCGGAAUUAUUGGGCAUAAAGGGCAUCUAGGCGGCCUUUCAAGUCAGGGGUGAAAACCUGCGGCUCAACCGCAGGCCUGCCUUUGAAACUGAUAGGCUGGAGUACCGGAGAGGUGGACGGAACUGCACGAGUAGAGGUGAAAUUCGUAGAUAUGUGCAGGAAUGCCGAUGAUGAAGAUAGUUCACUGGACGGUAACUGACGCUGAAGUGCGAAAGCCGGGGGAGCGAACAGGAUUAGAUACCCUGGUAGUCCAAGGGCGAAUUCCACAUUGGGCUGCAGCCCGGGGGAUCCACUAGUUCUAGAGCGGCCGCACCGCGGGAGCUCCAAUUCGCCCUAUAGUGAGUCGUAUACGCGCGCUCACUGACGUCGUUUACGGAAAAUUCCCGUUUCCCGUUGGGUAAACAAAAAAGCCCCCACCAAUAAAUUUGUGUAUGAAAUUAUCAAAAGGAUCUCCCCGAUCCCCUUAAUAAAAUGAAGUUUAAUCCUCGAGAGA
This 993-nucleotide ribosomal RNA is filed under the name uncultured Leptotrichia sp. Its description in RNAcentral is "bacterial SSU rRNA". The stretch from base 1 to 888 matches the Rfam family "Bacterial small subunit ribosomal RNA". Lineage: Bacteria; Fusobacteriati; Fusobacteriota; Fusobacteriia; Fusobacteriales; Leptotrichiaceae. The record is from RNAcentral.